CAGGCUUAACACAUGCAAGUCGAGGGGCAGCAUGGUCUUAGCUUGCUAAGGCCGAUGGCGACCGGCGCACGGGUGAGUAACACGUAUCCAACCUGCCGUCUACUCUUGGACAGCCUCCUGAAAGGAAGAUUAAUACAAGAUGGCAUCAUGAGUCCGCAUGUUCACAUGAUUAAAGGUAUUCCGGUAGACGAUGGGGAUGCGUUCCAUUAGAUAGUAGGCGGGGUAACGGCCCACCUAGUCUUCGAUGGAUAGGGGUUCUGAGAGGAAGGUCCCCCACAUUGGAACUGAGACACGGUCCAAACUCCUACGGGAGGCAGCAGUGAGGAAUAUUGGUCAAUGGGCGAGAGCCUGAACCAGCCAAGUAGCGUGAAGGAUGACUGCCCUAUGGGUUGUAAACUUCUUUUAUAAAGGAAUAAAGUCGGGUAUGGAUACCCGUUUGCAUGUACUUUAUGAAUAAGGAUCGGCUAACUCCGUGCCAGCAGCCGCGGUAAUACGGAGGAUCCGAGCGUUAUCCGGAUUUAUUGGGUUUAAAGGGAGCGUAGAUGGAUGUUUAAGUCAGUUGUGAAAGUUUGCGGCUCAACCGUAAAAUUGCAGUUGAUACUGGAUAUCUUGAGUGCAGUUGAGGCAGGCGGAAUUCGUGGUGUAGCGGUGAAAUGCUUAGAUAUCACGAAGAACUCCGAUUGCGAAGGCAGCCUGCUAAGCUGCAACUGACAUUGAGGCUCGAAAGUGUGGGUAUCAAACAGGAUUAGAUACCCUGGUAGUCCACACGGUAAACGAUGAAUACUCGCUGUUUGCGAUAUACUGCAAGCGGCCAAGCGAAAGCGUUAAGUAUUCCACCUGGGGAGUACGCCGGCAACGGUGAAACUCAAAGGAAUUGACGGGGGCCCGCACAAGCGGAGGAACAUGUGGUUUAAUUCGAUGAUACGCGAGGAACCUUACCCGGGCUUAAAUUGCAGAUGAAUUACGGUGAAAGCCGUAAGCCGCAAGGCAUCUGUGAAGGUGCUGCAUGGUUGUCGUCAGCUCGUGCCGUGAGGUGUCGGCUUAAGUGCCAUAACGAGCGCAACCCUUGUUGUCAGUUACUAACAGGUUCCGCUGAGGACUCUGACAAGACUGCCAUCGUAAGAUGUGAGGAAGGUGGGGAUGACGUCAAAUCAGCACGGCCCUUACGUCCGGGGCUACACACGUGUUACAAUGGGGGGUACAGAGGGCCGCUACCACGCGAGUGGAUGCCAAUCCCCAAAACCUCUCUCAGUUCGGACUGGAGUCUCCAACCCGACUCCACGAAGCUGGAUUCGCUAGUAAUCGCGCAUCAGCCACGGCGCGGUGAAUACGUUUCCGGGCCUUGUACACACCGCCCGUCAAGCCAUGGGAGCCGGGGGUACCUGAAGUGCGUAACCGCGAGGAGCGCCCUAGGGUAAAACUGGUG
RNAcentral lists this ribosomal RNA (1426 nucleotides) under uncultured bacterium. RNAcentral describes it as "16S ribosomal RNA". It matches the Rfam family "Bacterial small subunit ribosomal RNA". The record is from RNAcentral.